RNAcentral lists this ribosomal RNA (97 nucleotides) under uncultured bacterium. RNAcentral's name for it is "partial 16S ribosomal RNA". It matches the Rfam family "Bacterial small subunit ribosomal RNA", at positions 1386 to 1482 of the family's 1533-position model. The record is from RNAcentral.
CACACCGCCCGUCAAGCCAUGGAAGCUGGGAGUACUCGAAGUCGCUGUGCCAACCGCAAGGAGGCAGGCGCCUAAGGUAAAACCAGUGACUGGGGCU